RNAcentral lists this long non-coding RNA (517 nucleotides) under Calidris pugnax (ruff). Its description in RNAcentral is "lncRNA (ENSCPUG00000001160.1)". The record is from RNAcentral. Lineage: Eukaryota; Metazoa; Chordata; Aves; Charadriiformes; Scolopacidae.
CCGGGGCCCCCAUCCUCCCUUUCUCCAGCUCUGUGCUUAAGCCACUUGGAUGGGGGGCCCCCGAGGGGGGUAAAAAAAAAAAAAAAAAAAGUAUGAAGCAGUAACUAAUCAUAGAACAGAAUUAAAACAAGGAUCUAUUUUCCAUAAAGCCCCCAAGGAAUUUUUACAGUCUCAUCAGUUUGUGUGGUAUCAAACAGGGCAGCUCUGUUGUGGUUAGCAAACAUUAGCGUGUCCUCUUCAUAAUCCCAUCCAUGCCUAAAGUAAAAGGGGCCCCAUGUCAAAAAUCUUCCAGAUAAUGCCUCUGCUGACUCCGCAGAUGUGGGUUUGCUCACUUCUGAGGUGCUGACAUCCUCUUAACCUUGUUUGUAGUGCAGCAGUACCAAAACCCAAACUGUGUCCCAAGGUACAACCUCAACUCUAGAAAUCGAGCAGUGAGUGGGAAACUCACAGAGCCUCCUUUCCCCGUGGAAGUCUUAUCUCACGCAGAAAUUAUUCCCAUAUUUCUUUAGAAUCUGGA